GCCCGAAUCCUGACACAGGGAGGUAGUGACAAGAAAUAACAAUACAGGGCUAAUCUAGUCUUGUAAUUGGAAUGAGUACAAUUUACAUCUCUUCACGAGGAUCAAUUGGAGGGCAAGUCUGGUGCCAGCAGCCGCGGUAAUUCCAGCUCCAAUAGCGUAUAUUAAAGUUGUUGCAGUUAGAACGCUCGUAGUCGGAUUUCGGGGCGGGCCGACCGGUCUGCCGAUGGGUAUGCACUGGCCGGCGCGUCCUUCCUCUCGGAGACCGUUCCUACUCUUAACUGAGCGGGAGCGGGAGACGGGACUUUUACUUUGAAAAAAUCAGAGUGUUUCAAGCAGGCAGCUCGCUCUUGCAUGGAUUAGCAUGGGAUAAUGAAAUAGGACUUUGGUGCUAUUUUGUUGGUUUCGAACACCGAAGUAAUGAUGAGAAGGGACAGUCAGGGGCACUCGUAUUCCGCCGAGAGAGGUGAAAUUCUCAGACCAGCGGAAGACGAACCACUGCGAAAGCAUUUGCCAGGGAUGUUUUCACUGAUCAAGAACGAAAGUUAGGGGAUCGAAGACGACCAGAUACCGUCGUAGUCUUAACCAUAAACCAUGCCGACUAGGGAUCGGAGGAUGUUCACAUAUUGACUCCUUCGGCACCUUACGGGAAACUAAAGUCUUUGGGUUCCGGGGGGAGUAUGGUCGCAAGGCUGAAACUUAAAGGAAUUGACGGAAGGGCACCACCAGGUGUGGAGCCUGCGGCUUAAUUUGACUCAACACGGGGAAACUUA
Molecule: ribosomal RNA, 770 nt
Filed under: uncultured marine Prymnesiales
Lineage: Eukaryota; Haptophyta; Prymnesiales
Description: SSU rRNA
Rfam family: Eukaryotic small subunit ribosomal RNA
Source: RNAcentral